RNAcentral lists this ribosomal RNA (514 nucleotides) under uncultured bacterium. RNAcentral's name for it is "partial 16S ribosomal RNA". It matches the Rfam family "Bacterial small subunit ribosomal RNA", at positions 28 to 523 of the family's 1533-position model. The record is from RNAcentral.
GAUGAACGCUGGCGGCGUGCCUAAUACAUGCAAGUCGAGCGCGAGAAUGAGGAGCUUGCUCCUCAUAAUCGAGCGGCGGACGGGUGAGUAACACGUAGGCAACCUACCCUUGAGAUUGGGAUAACUACCGGAAACGGUAGCUAAUACCGGAUACGGCUUUUCCACACAAGUGGAAUUGUUAAAAGGCGGAUUUAUCUGCCGCUCAUGGAUGGGCCUGCGGUGCAUUCGCUAGUUGGUGAGGUAGUGGCACACCAAGGCGACGAUGCAUAGCCGACCUGAGAGAGUGAUCGGCCACACUGGGACUGAGACACGGCCCAGACUCCUACGGGAGGCAGCAGUAGGGAAUCUUCCGCAAUGGACGCAAGUCUGACGGAGCAACGCCGCGUGAGUGAUGAAGGGUUUCGGCUCGUAAAACUCUGUUGUUAAGGAAGAACACUUGAGGUAGUAACUGGCCUUGAGAUGACGGUACUUAACCAGAAAGCCACGGCUAACUACGUGCCAGCAGCCGCAGUAA